UUCGCUAAUUUUUCGUUUUCUCAGACUGCAUUUUUCAGGCAGGGUUGCGUGAUUCCGGCGGGCGGGGGCCCUCCGCGAACAGAGGGGGCCCCGCCCUGGCGCCGAAUCGUGGCCGCGGUUACGAAGGGUGGGGAUUGCGGCCCGGAGGCCAUGAACCCAUUAAUGAUCCUUCCGCAGGUUCACCUACGGAAA
Molecule: unclassified non-coding RNA, 192 nt
Filed under: uncultured fungus
Lineage: Eukaryota; Fungi
Description: sequence contains ITS1
Source: RNAcentral